RNAcentral lists this ribosomal RNA (218 nucleotides) under uncultured Sphingobacteriales bacterium. RNAcentral's name for it is "partial 16S ribosomal RNA". It matches the Rfam family "Bacterial small subunit ribosomal RNA", at positions 116 to 334 of the family's 1533-position model. Lineage: Bacteria; Pseudomonadati; Bacteroidota; Sphingobacteriia; Sphingobacteriales. The record is from RNAcentral.
CGUAUGUAACCUACCUUCAUCAGGGGGAUAGCCUCUCGAAAGAGAGAUUAACACCGCAUAAAAUCACAGUGCAGCAUUGCAUAAUGAUCAAAUAUUUAUAGGAUGAAGAUUGGCAUGCGGGACAUUAGCUAGUUGGCGGGGUAACGGCCCACCAAGGCGACGAUGUCUAGGGGAUCUGAGAGGAUGACCCCCCACACUGGUACUGAGACACGGACCAG